CAUGCAAGUCGAACGCUGAAGCCAAGCUUGCUUGGUGGAUCAGUGGCGAACGGGUGAGUAACACGUGAGCAACCUGCCCUGGACUCUGGGAUAAGCGCUGGAAACGGCGUCUAAUACUGGAUAUGAGCCUCUAUCGCAUGGUCGGGGGUUGGAAAGAUUUUUUGGUCUGGGAUGGGCUCGCGGCCUAUCAGCUUGUUGGUGAGGUAAUGGCUCACCAAGGCGUCGACGGGUAGCCGGCCUGAGAGGGUGACCGGCCACACUGGGACUGAGACACGGCCCAGACUCCUACGGGAGGCAGCAGUGGGGAAUAUUGCACAAUGGGCGAAAGCCUGAUGCAGCAACGCCGCGUGAGGGAUGACGGCCUUCGGGUUGUAAACCUCUUUUAGCAGGGAAGAAGCGAAAGUGACGGUACCUGCAGAAAAAGCGCCGGCUAACUACGUGCCAGCAGCCGCGGUAAUACGUAGGGCGCAAGCGUUAUCCGGAAUUAUUGGGCGUAAAGAGCUCGUAGGCGGUUUGUCGCGUCUGCUGUGAAAUCCCGAGGCUCAACCUCGGGCCUGCAGUGGGUACGGGCAGACUAGAGUGCGGUAAGGGGAAGAUUGGAAUUCCUGGGUGUAAGCGGUGGAAUGCGCAGAUAUCAGGAGGAACACCCGAUGGCGAAGGCAGAUCUCUGGGCCGUAACUGACGCUGAGGAGCGAAAGGGUGGGGAGCAAACAGGCUUAGAUACCCUGGUAGUCCACCCCGUAAACGUUGGGAACUAGUUGU
RNAcentral lists this ribosomal RNA (762 nucleotides) under Microbacterium imperiale. RNAcentral's name for it is "bacterial SSU rRNA". It matches the Rfam family "Bacterial small subunit ribosomal RNA", at positions 54 to 823 of the family's 1533-position model. The record is from RNAcentral. Lineage: Bacteria; Bacillati; Actinomycetota; Actinomycetes; Micrococcales; Microbacteriaceae.